Austrofundulus limnaeus is the source of this 2664-nucleotide long non-coding RNA. RefSeq lists it as uncharacterized. The record is from RefSeq and is a predicted model, not a curated record. The transcript has 3 exons. Lineage: Eukaryota; Metazoa; Chordata; Actinopteri; Cyprinodontiformes; Rivulidae.
CUUUGUACAAAAUAAGGUUAGUGUACUUAAAAUGGACCAAACUAAUGUAAUAAAUAUUGUUACUAUGCUCUUGUUUAACAUGAAAACGUUUAUCAACCGACAACAGCUGGGGCUCAGGUCUCUGCUGAUAUUUUGUGGGUCACAGCUGAAAAGUUUAGGAACCACUUCUAUAUAUUUUCAGUUCCCUUUCAGCUGAUUUCACCAGUGUUUGGAGAAGACGUGGCGCCAUCUGCUGGUCAACUCUGUUUAAUCCACUCUGCUCUUUUCUAUAACAAAAGAAAACCUUGUAUUUUACAGCUCAUUUUGAACAUUUAGAAACAACACAACAGGUCUUUUUGAAUAAAACGAAUGAAUAAAAUAAAACCAUGGCUCGUUUAUUGUUUCGAAGGAAGCAACGCAGCAGUUUAAGGAAUCACUUCACUCUUUAUUGGAAUGAAAUUAAUAAUUUUGACACUUCAGUGUUUUGCUUGUUUGUCUCCGGAGAACAAGCCGGUCAGGACAAAGUGACUCUCCACUUUAAAUCUGCUUUUUAAAUGUCAAACAGCUGUUGUUUCUAUAAAUAUGUGUUGGUGUUUGUUUGAAAAUGAUUUUUUUUUUUUUAGUUUGACUUCGCUCGACAGUGAAAAGGCAGAUUUAUGAAGUUGUCACCUUCAGAUUCAGAGAUUAAAAAUAAAAAUCCAUUCACUCGUGUGUGAGCUGGGCUUUCUUCUACGCAUGCUCAGGAACUAAAACAGGUUCUAAUGGUUCCAGUCACCUCUGCAGACACYCUUUGAAAACAAGGAUGGUGGAAACUACAGAGAAUAUUCAUAGUCUUUAUAGAGUCUUCACCUAUCAGUACUUUUACAGCAACACAGUUUAAGCAGAUAUUAACACGUUGUACAGAUUUACUGAGGGAAACUCCCAGGAGGACGUCGCCAACCGAAGCCUCGAGGCGCCAAAAGCGGGACAAAAUUAAGACGUAGAGCUGUCGACGUGGAUUAACUGGUUGAGAAUCAACAGUUUUAUGGCAACGGUUAAAUAUUUUGCAUCUAGAACUAUUAGGGUGAUAAUUAACAGAUUUUAAAUUAUAACAAAGACUCAAAAUGCAACAUUCUACCUGCAGGAUCAGUAAUUAGUAGCUAUUUUUGGACACAAAUGGUCACAGGUCUGCAGAUGUUUCCUUCAUCUACAAAUAAAACCCAUCCAGUCUUAAUUACCGUCCAUUCUUUCAGCGCCACAAAGCCUCGAAUCACUGACGCCUCGUUUCUCGACACGCUCGGUUAAAAUAAAGAAAACGAAUCAAAUGUUCUGAUGUUCUCUCAGGAAGUGAGGUGGGCUUUGGAAAAGGUUUUCACCCCUGAAUUAACGUCCGUGRCGUUGUUCUGCACCAACGAUGCUCACAAAGUGGGUAAAAGUAUUCAGCAUGCUGUUGUGUGUAUUUACAACACUGAUGGUUACAGAGAAGGUGAAGGUACUCGGAGUUACUGACAGGAACGGGUACUCAGAGUUACUGACAGGAACGGGUACUCAGAGUUACUGACAGGAACGUGUACUCAGAGUUACUGACAGGAACGCGUACUCAGAGUUACUGACAGGAACGGGUACUCAGAGUUACUGACAGGAACGGGUACUCAGAGUUACUGACAGGAACGGGUACUCAGAGUUACUGACAGGAACGGGUAUUCAGAGUUACCGACAGGAACGGGUACUCAGAGUUACCGACAGGAACAGGUACUCUGAGUUACCGACAGGAACAGGUACUCAGUUACCGACAGGAACAGGUACUCAGUUACCGACAGGAACAGGUACUCAGUUACCGACAGGAACAGGUACUCAGUUACCGACAGGAACAGGUACUCAGUUACUGACAGGAACAGGUACUCGGAGUUACUGACAGGAACAGGUACUCAGUUACUGACAGGAACAGGUACUCGGAGUUACUGACAGGAACAAGUACUCAGUUACUGACAGGAACAGGUACUCGGAGUUACUGACAGGAACAGGUACUCAGUUACUGACAGGAACAGGUACUCUGAGUUACUGACAGGAACAGGUACUCGGAGUUACUGACAGGAACAGGUACCCGGAGUUACUGACAGGAACAGGUACUCAGAGUUACUGACAGGAACAGGUACUCAGAGUUACUGACAGGAACAGGUACUCAGAGUUACUGACAGGAACAGGUACUCAGAGUUACUGACAGGAACAGGAAACAGUGUGCUGUCAUACCAAAGCAUUACUUAGAAUUAAUACAGUCAGCUAGUAAGCUUGACCUAAACAGGGUUUAAAUUACAGCUUUAUGGAAGUUUGAGACUUUAUUUUGUCGUGUUUUUGUUAAACCAGCCUUGCAGGUAAGCUAAUGUUGUAAAAAUCUAAUUAAACCCACAGUGAGAGAGGAGUAUUUAAAAUAUGAAGGCAGUAGUUGUGUCCCUCUAAACAUUUUUUUCUUACAGAUCCUGCAUCAAACACGGUCUGAACCUUAAUCUUAUAGUCUUAUACCUGUUUACCCAUAAUGCACAUGACCAGGGACGUCAUUAGCAAGAUAACAUCAGGCCUUUUUGGACAUGCUGUUUUUAAAAUAUAAGAUAAUUCUCAUAUUAGGCUCACGGUUUUGCAGAGAGAAGUUUCUGCAUGAAUUUGAACGAAUUCUGGACCAUUACCGGAGACAACGGGUCUAGUUUAAAC